GACGAACGCUGGCGGCGUGCUUAACACAUGCAAGUCGUACGGUAAGGCCCUUUCGGGGGUACACGAGUGGCGAACGGGUGAGUAACACGUGAGUAACCUGCCCACAACUUUGGGAUAACGCUAGGAAACUGGUGCUAAUACUGGAUAUGUUCUCCUGCUGCAUGGUGGGGGUAGGAAAGCUCCGGCGGUUGUGGAUGGACUCGCGGCCUAUCAGCUUGUUGGUGGGGUAGUGGCCUACCAAGGCGGCGACGGGUAGCCGGCCUGAGAGGGUGACCGGCCACAUUGGGACUGAGAUACGGCCCAGACUCCUACGGGAGGCAGCAGUGGGGAAUAUUGCACAAUGGGCGCAAGCCUGAUGCAGCAACGCCGCGUGCGGGAUGACGGCCUUCGGGUUGUAAACCGCUUUCAGCAGGGACGAAGCUUUUUGUGACGGUACCUGCAGAAGAAGCACCGGCUAACUACGUG
Molecule: ribosomal RNA, 465 nt
Filed under: uncultured bacterium
Lineage: Bacteria
Description: partial 16S ribosomal RNA
Rfam family: Bacterial small subunit ribosomal RNA
Source: RNAcentral